AUGGAAUUUGGGCUGAGCUGGUUUGUCCUUGCUGCGAUUUUACAAGGUGUCCAGUGUGAGGUGCAGCUGGUGGAGUCUGGGGUAGGCUUGGUGCAGCCUGGAGGGCCUCUGAAACUCUCCUGUGCAGCCUCUGGAUUCACCUUCAAUAGCUACUCUAUGCACUGGGUCCACCAGGCUCCAGGGAAGGGGCUGGAGUGGGUCGCAUACAUUAGUGAUAGUGGUGAUAGCACAAACUAUGCAGACACUGUGAGGGACAGAUUCACCAUCUCCAGAGACAACUCCAGGAACACGCUGUAUCUGCAAAUGAACAGCCUGAGAUCUGACGGCACGACCGUGUAUUACUGUGCAAAAGAUACCCAGUGA
Molecule: non-coding RNA, 363 nt
Organism: Eubalaena glacialis (North Atlantic right whale)
Lineage: Eukaryota; Metazoa; Chordata; Mammalia; Artiodactyla; Balaenidae
Source: the annotation of a RefSeq genome assembly